UUGGGGGAAAGGCGAAAAGAACCCCGGGAGGGGAGUGAAAUAGAUCCUGAAACCGCAUGCUUACAAAAAGUAGGAGCCCGCAAGGGUGACUGCGUACCUUUUGUAUAAUGGGUCAGCGACUUACAUUCAGUGGCAAGGUUAACCGAAUAGGGAAGCCGUAGAGAAAUCGAGUCCGAAUAGGGCGUCUAGUCGCUGGGUGUAGACCCGAAACCAAGUGAUCUAUCCAUGGCCAGGAUGAAGGUGCCGUAACAGGUACUGGAGGUCCGAACCGACUAGUGUUGCAAAACUAGCGGAUGAGCUGUGGAUAGGGGUGAAAGGCUAAACAAACUUGGAAAUAGCUGGUUCUCUCCGAAAACUAUUUAGGUAGUGCCUCAAGUAUUACCUUCGGGGGUAGAGCACUGUUUUGGCUAGGGGGUCAUGGCGACUUACCAAACCAAGGCAAACUCCGAAUACCGAAGAGUAGAGCUUGGGAGACAGAGCACCGGGUGCUAACGUCCGGACUCCAGAGGGAAACAACCCAGACCGCCAGCUAAGGUCCCUAAAAUUGGCUAAGUGGGAAACGAAGUGGGAAGGCUAAAACAGUCAGGAUGUUGGCUUAGAAGCAGCCAUCAUUUAAAGAAAGCGUAAUAGCUCACUGAUCGAGUCGUCCUGCGCGGAAGAUGUAACGGGGCUAAGCCAGUUACCGAAGCUGCGGAUUUGCAAUUUAUUGCAAGUGGUAGGAGAGCGUUCUGUAAGCCUGUGAAGGUGCGUCGUAAGGCGUGCUGGAGGUAUCAGAAGUGCGAAUGCUGACAUGAGUAGCGUUAAAGGGGGUGAAAAGCCCCCUCGCCGUAAGCGCAAGGUUUUCUACGCAACGUUCAUCGGCGUAGAGUGAGUCGGCCCCUAAGGCGAGGCAGAGAUGCGUAGCUGAUGGGAAACAGGUCAAUAUUCCUGUACCGAUGUGUAGUGCGAUGUGGGGACGGAUCUUAAUAGGUCAUCCGGGUGUUGGAUAUCCCGGUUUAGUUGGAAGUAGGCGAUGGGUAGGCAAAUCCGCCCGUCAUAUACCGAGGCCAAUGAUCGAGCCAGCUUGCUGGUGAAGUGACUGAACGAGGUUCCAGGAAAAGCCACUAAGCUUCAGCUACACACGACCGUACCGCAAACCGACACUGGUGCGCGAGAUGAGUAUUCUAAGGCGCUUGAGAGAACUCAGGAGAAGGAACUCGGCAAAUUGACACCGUAACUUCGGAAGAAGGUGUGCCCUAUUAGUGUGAAGUGAACAACGGAGCAUGAAUGGGUCGCAAAAAAUCGGUGGCUGCGACUGUUUAUUAAAAACACAGCACUCUGCAAACACGAAAGUGGACGUAUAGGGUGUGACGCCUGCCCGGUGCUGGAAGAUUAAAUGAUGGGGUGCAAGCUCUUGAUUGAAGUCCCAGUAAACGGCGGCCGUAACAAUAACGGUCCUAAGGUAGCGAAAUUCCUUGUCGGGUAAGUUCCGACCUGCACGAAUGGCGUAACGAUGGCCACACUGUCUCCUCCUGAGACUCAGCGAAGUUGAAAUGUUUGUGAUGAUGCG
RNAcentral lists this ribosomal RNA (1549 nucleotides) under metagenome. RNAcentral describes it as "bacterial LSU rRNA". It matches the Rfam family "Bacterial large subunit ribosomal RNA", at positions 503 to 2063 of the family's 2925-position model. The record is from RNAcentral.